UACAUGAAGUCGGAAUCGCUAGUAAUCGCGGAUCAGCAUGCCGCGGUGAAUACGUUCCCGGGCCUUGUACACACCGCCCGUCACACCAUGAGAGUUGGAGAUACCCGAAGCCUAUGAGCUAACUUUUAGAGGCAGUAGUCGAAGGUAGAAUCAAUGAUUGGGGUGAAGUCGUAACAAGGUAGC
This 183-nucleotide ribosomal RNA is filed under the name uncultured bacterium. Its description in RNAcentral is "partial 16S ribosomal RNA". It matches the Rfam family "Bacterial small subunit ribosomal RNA", at positions 1317 to 1500 of the family's 1533-position model. The record is from RNAcentral.